UUCAAUUUUAACAAGUUCUUCCUGCAAAUGAGCAUUUCCUGAGACUAUCAGAGCACCUGAGAACAGCUCCAUCAGCCACGUCAAAUGCUUCACAGCGGCAGUCAAUUACAUUCGAGCAUAUUUAAGAUGAGCAGAGUCAGACGUUAGUUUUCUCUCCACUCGCUUCAGGUGAAGCAGUUCAGAAACUUAUGGCCACCGGCUGCUGUUUGCCCCAGGAAAGAGCUUAAAAGCAGAACAACCUCUUCCCCAAAUAACGACCAUAUGUAAAGCACUGCGCAGCAGAUCCGUCCUGCAAACUGCUUAGCGCUCUCAGGGGUGCAGUAAGUUGUGCCAGGAAGCUUUUCUGCCAUCUUCAGUUGAAAUCUAAGCUACAAGUUGAAGAUCAGCCCCCAGCCAACAGCACAUCUUCUCGAAACAAAUGAUUGUUUUCCUCACUCGACAAAGCAAUAAUGAGACAAGAAACCAGAUCCUGGGCAUACAGUUCUAAGGAACAUCAAACAAGAAAAAUACAACCAAGUUCUUCCGCCAUGGAGCAGAUCCCCACAAAAUCCAGCUGCAGAGCAGGGCCAUGGCUUAUCUCUCCAUGCCUUCACCAUUGGAGUGUUCCCAGAGUGGUUCAUGAAAACCCAUAA
Molecule: long non-coding RNA, 632 nt
Filed under: Coturnix japonica (Japanese quail)
Lineage: Eukaryota; Metazoa; Chordata; Aves; Galliformes; Phasianidae
Description: lncRNA (ENSCJPG00005020627.1)
Source: RNAcentral